This 460-nucleotide ribosomal RNA is filed under the name uncultured bacterium. Its description in RNAcentral is "partial 16S ribosomal RNA". It matches the Rfam family "Bacterial small subunit ribosomal RNA", at positions 338 to 795 of the family's 1533-position model. The record is from RNAcentral.
CCUACGGGGGACAGCAGUGAGGAAUAUUGGUCAAUGGGCGGAAGCCUGAACCAGCCAAGUAGCGUGCAGGAUGACGGCCCUACGGGUUGUAAACUGCUUUUAUACGGGAAUAACGCGCCUUACGUGUAGGGCUUUGCAUGUACCGUAUGAAUAAGGACCGACUAAUUCCGUGCCAGCAGCCGCGGUAAUACGGAAGGUCCGGGCGUUAUCCGGAUUUAUUGGGUUUAAAGGGAGCGUAGGCCGCAUGUCAAGCGUGCUGUGAAAUGUCCGGGCUCAACCCGGGCCUUGCAGCGCGAACUGGCGUGCUUGAGUCCGCGGAAAGCAGGCGGAAUUCGUCGUGUAGCGGUGAAAUGCUUAGAUAUGACGAAGAACCCCGAUUGCGAAGGCAGCCUGCUGCAGCGGAACUGACGCUGAUGCUCGAAAGCGCGGGUAUCGAACAGGAUUAGAUACCCCUGUAGUC